This 1033-nucleotide long non-coding RNA is filed under the name Oryctolagus cuniculus (rabbit). RNAcentral's name for it is "lncRNA (ENSOCUG00000030154.1)". The record is from RNAcentral. Lineage: Eukaryota; Metazoa; Chordata; Mammalia; Lagomorpha; Leporidae.
GACCGAUGGCACUGACCGGCCCCAGAGCAAGCGCGCUCCGCUCUGCCUUCUCCGAUUCCAGGCUUUCCCAAGAACACGAAAGGGACGCGGGAUUGCGCUGGAAUCUGGUCCUGGGAAAGAACUCAGCCCCUGGAUAAGGCAGGCACGCAUCCCAUCUGCAGCUUUGCUGCUGGCGCACGGCAGACACUCUGGAGCAAGUCCCUGGUCCAGCCACGGCCCCGCCUCCUCGCCCCGUGUCCUGUCCACGUGCACGGCCACUUCCUCUUCUCCAACCACUGCUCCUGCUUCCUCUCCAGGAUCACCCAGUUCACAAACGUCCCUGCCCCCACCUCCCCCGCCCCCGCCAUCCAGACCUGCCCCCUCCUGCCACUCACUCUGCUCUGGCCCCCUUGUCCUAGCCCGUCAGACUCCCCCUUCCCACCGAGCGGGUUAAGUUCUAACGGCUCCGUGGGACUCCACCUCCUCCUCUCCCUCUCCAGCCCCACCUCUCACUGCAGCAAGAAAUCUGCUGACGCCAGGCCUGCCUGUGUGCACGCCUCCAGGCGGUGUGCUGGCUGCUAACGACGUCCCGUGUCCACCUGCGCGUCCCUCGGCCUCUCCACUCCCAGCCAGCAGAGAGAAGAAGCCCACAUCCCUGCAUAGCUGACGCACCGUCCCGUCGCCCCCACACAGAAACAGCCCGAGCGUCUACACGGGGUGGACAGACCCCCGGCUGUGUAGACCUCACAGCGGGCAUCUUCUGGGGCGGGCGCCGUGCUGCAGGGGGUGAAGCUGCUCGCUGUGACGCCGGCAUCCCGCAUCGGAGCCCCAGUUCCAGUCCUGCCUCGCUGCGCCUGAUCCAGCUCUCUGCUGAGGAGCCUGGGGAGGCAACGGAUGAUGGCCCAAGCGCUUGAGUCCCUGAUACUCCAGUGGGGCACAGAGAUGUGCCUGGCGCGGGGGAGUGGAUCAGCAGAUGGAAUCUCUCUCUCUCUCUCUCUCUCUUCACCCUCUCUCUGUCACUCUACCUUUCAAAUAAAUAAAUAUUAAGAGAACA